UGAACCUGCAGAAGGAUCAUU
This 21-nucleotide ribosomal RNA is filed under the name Quambalaria pitereka. Its description in RNAcentral is "partial 18S ribosomal RNA". The record is from RNAcentral. RNAcentral also lists the same sequence under 1 other name. Lineage: Eukaryota; Fungi; Basidiomycota; Exobasidiomycetes; Microstromatales; Quambalariaceae.